Molecule: ribosomal RNA, 819 nt
Filed under: uncultured Desulfurococcales archaeon
Lineage: Archaea; Thermoproteati; Thermoproteota; Thermoprotei; Desulfurococcales
Description: bacterial SSU rRNA
Rfam family: Archaeal small subunit ribosomal RNA
Source: RNAcentral
GGGGUGGGACUAAGCCAUGGGAGUCGUGCGCCCCCGGACGCGGGGGCGCGGCGGACGGCUGAGUAACACGUGGCCAACCUACCCUCGGGACGGGGAUAACCCCGGGAAACUGGGGCUAAUCCCCGAUAGGCGAGGGGGCCUGGAGCGGGUCCCUCGCCGAAAGGGCGCGCGGAGCUUCCCCGCGCGCCGCCCGAGGAUGGGGCUGCGGCCCAUCAGGUAGUUGGCGGGGUAACGGCCCGCCAAGCCGAUAACGGGUAGGGGCCCUGGGGGGGGGAGCCCCCAGAUGGGCACUGAGACAAGGGCCCAGGCCCUACGGGGCGCACCAGGCGCGAAACCUCCGCAAUGCGGGCAACCGUGACGGGGUCACCCCGAGUGCCGCCGUUUGGCGGCUGUUCCCCGCUGUAGGAAGGCGGGGGAGUAAGCGGGGGGCAAGUCUGGUGUCAGCCGCCGCGGUAAUACCAGCCCCGCGAGCGGUCGGGGUGCUUAUUGGGCCUAAAGCGCCCGUAGCCGGCCCGGCAAGUCCUCCCCUAAAGCCCCGGGCUCAACCCGGGGAGUGGGGAGGAUACUGCCGGGCUAGGGGGCGGGAGAGGCCGAGGGUACUCCCGGGGUAGGGGCGAAAUCCGAUAAUCCCGGGAGGACCACCAGUGGCGAAGGCGCUCGGCUGGAACGCGCCCGACGGUGAGGGGCGAAAGCCGGGGGAGCAAACCGGAUUAGAUACCCGGGUAGUCCCGGCUGUAAACGAUGCGGGCUAGGUGUUGGGCGGGCUUGGAGCCCGCCCAGUGCCGCAGGGAAGCCGUUAAGCCCGCCGCCUGGGGAGUA